Molecule: long non-coding RNA, 373 nt
Filed under: Mytilus galloprovincialis (Mediterranean mussel)
Lineage: Eukaryota; Metazoa; Mollusca; Bivalvia; Mytilida; Mytilidae
Source: RNAcentral
CAAUUUUUUUCAUUGGCUAAAAGUUGCCGUCAAAUCCACAGUUGACCAGGCGUAACUAAGGAGGGACAACCAUUUUGAAAUGAUUGAAUCAACAAAUGUUCGAUUACAACUAUAUAAUCCAAAAUAAAACAACACCUACCUCGAAUUUGCCGUUUUAAAGUUAUUUUAUCCGAAUUUGAAGCGUACAUGUAACGUAAUAACCUCCAGUUUGUAAGUUUUCAUUUGUCUGACGUCACGUUUACCCAUCACGUCUUUGCGCCAAAGUCAUUCAUGAAGUUUCGCGGAUUUUUUUUUAUUUGUCAAAUUUAGACAUUUUUCCAAGUUUUAUCGUAUUAUUUCUUUUUGAAAUGCAUUAGAAUCGGAAUAACAGUAC